UGUUGAACUUUUAGAGAAAAAUUUCAAACAAACUUUUGUACAUCAAUAUCGAUGAACAUCAAUCCUUCCCUUUGCUCAAGUGCAUCAUGCCAAACAUUGGAACAAGGGAAAUAAGAGCUCUGGUUGAGGAAAAUUGUUGAAAAUGGAUUUUAAUUCAUGACUUACUACCACAGAUACAAGAAUAUGUCAACAGAAUAUUUGAAUGGCUUGAGGGAAAUACUUAAGAUGAAAAAAGAGG
Non-coding RNA from Phascolarctos cinereus (koala), 238 nucleotides. The record is from RefSeq and is a predicted model, not a curated record. Lineage: Eukaryota; Metazoa; Chordata; Mammalia; Diprotodontia; Phascolarctidae.